This 502-nucleotide ribosomal RNA is filed under the name uncultured bacterium. RNAcentral describes it as "partial 16S ribosomal RNA". It matches the Rfam family "Bacterial small subunit ribosomal RNA", at positions 30 to 523 of the family's 1533-position model. The record is from RNAcentral.
AUUGAACGCUGGCGGCGUGCUUAACACAUGCAAGUCUAUCGGUAACAGGUGUAGCAAUACAUGCUGACGAGAGUCGGACGGGUGAGGAAUAUUUGGGAAUCUGCCCAUUAGCGGGGGACAACCCGGGGAAACUCGGGCUAAUACCGCAUACGCUCUACGGAGGAAAGCCGGGUACCGCAAGGCCUGGCACUGAUUGAUGAGCCCAAAUCGGAUUAGCUAGUUGGCGGGGUAACGGCCCACCAAGGCGACGAGCCGUAGCUGGUCUGAGAGGACGACCAGCCACACCGGAACUGAGACACGGUCCGGACUCCUACGGGAGGCAGCAGUGGGGAAUAUUGGACAAUGGGGGAAACCCUGAUCCAGCGACGCCGCGUGGGUGAAGAAGGCCUGCGGGUUGUAAAGCCCUUUCGGCAGGGAAGAAAUCUCUUGUCUUAACACGGCAAGGGUUUGACUUAACCUACAUAAGAAGCACCGGCUAACUCUGUGCCAGCCGCCGCCGUAA